This 38077-nucleotide long non-coding RNA is filed under the name Triticum aestivum (bread wheat). RNAcentral's name for it is "long non-coding RNA (TAES_LNC021334)". Lineage: Eukaryota; Viridiplantae; Streptophyta; Magnoliopsida; Poales; Poaceae. The record is from RNAcentral.
UUUUUUUUUGUAGCGAGAUCAAUGUAAAGAAUGAGAAAGAUAAGGACCUGGAUUUUUCCCAGCACAUUGCCCGCGCAACGCAUAUCUCUUCCACACAUCUAGCAUAGACAUAUUCGGAAAGACAAUUUCUUUUUCUUCAAGGAGUAGGAGAAGAAGGAAGGUACAUUCUUACAAAAGCAGGAGGAGGGAACACGAGUUGAAGAAGAAGGAAGGUACAAGCCCUUCUUGAAAGUGAAGGCGGGGAUUGAUUGAGACCGGAAUAGGGUAGACAACAAAUUAAAAUAGACUUAGAGAAGCAUGAAGCGUACGAUGACAGCUCGAGAAGGCAAAAGAUUUCAGCGGAGGAUUUGUUAGACUUGUAGUUAAACAUAAAUGCCUAUUAUAACUUGUAUACAAUUGUAUUUGUACUCAAAGAGGUUUUCCCCCAUAUAUAUAUAUAUUGUCGUGGCCGACCCAUGGGUGUCGAAGUCCACAAUACCCCAAAACCUUUUGCUUAACAUGGUAUCAGAUACGAUUGUUUCGAUCCUGACCUAAUCGCUACGUCGCCGCCGCCCGACCUAGUCGCUACGUCGCCGCCGCCGCCUAUGUCGUCUUCCGCUGCUGAUUCUUCGGCGGCCGCCGCCGCGGCUCUCUCCGGCGCGGAUACUAUUGCUGCUCUCACCGGCGCAGCCACCCUACCUGCCGCCGCCAUCGAGCUCUCCGCCCUGCCUGCGCUCGGUAAUCCCAUCGGAUCGGGCGCGCCCGUCCUCGGUCCGCCGGCUCAUGUGACGCCGUUCCUGUCUACUCUCCUUCAAGGAGGACCUGCAUCUACUCCGCUGAUGACCAGAUCGACGGGGGCCCUGUUCUCCGGGUCUACUUCUUCGGCCCCUCAAGGAUCGCCGGCGUUGCACCCCAACUAUGCCACGCUGGCGCCCUACGCACCGCCGCCGUACGCGCCUGAUCCUGCUACCUAUGAUGCGUUCUACGGUGCUCCUUACGGUGCCCCCUACGGCAUGUCCUACGACGCCCCCUAUGGCAUUCACUAUGGCGCUGGACAUGGUGCCCCUCAUGGUGGAGGCUAUGGUGCUCUGUACGGCUCCGGCUACCCGGCGAUCCCGUGGCCUGCUCCUUAUGGCGCGUCACCGUCUCCUCCACCACCGGUUCCUCCAGCAGCACCGCAGUCUUCGCCCGCGGUGGAUGCCGCCCUGUCUGGUGCUGCCGCUGUACCACCCUACGACUUUGCCCUCAAUGUCAUCACAACUCAGCCGUUCUACUUCAACAACCUCCUCCCGGUGAAACUAAAGAUGGACAACUAUUUGUUCUGGCGUGCACAGAUCCUUCCUCUCCUUCGCAACCAUUAUCUGGAGGGCUUUGUGGAUGGAACCUUGCCAUGCCCUUCCCCAGAUCAUCAUAUGUUCCGACCAUGGAUUGCUCAAGAUCAAGCAAUUCUCUCGUCGAUACAGUCCUCUCUCACCGAGGGCGUUUCCGGCUUGAUACUGUUUGCUACUACAUCCCAUGAGGUAUGGAGCAUGCUGGAUUCUAGCUUCUCUGCUCAGUCCUCGUCUCAGCAUAUGGCCCUUCAUACCCAGCUUAAUGAGACUCGUAAGGAUCAUCACUCCGUCACCGUCUUCUUCAACAAAAUCAAGCACCUUGCUAAUCAACUUGCCUCUAUUGGCGAGCCCCUUCGUGACACGGAGUUUACCAUGUAUAUUCUUCAAGGUCUCGAUGCCGAGUGUGACUCUCUUGUUGAGGUGAUCCAGGAACGCAAGGUUCCCAUCAAACCGUAGGAGCUCUUUCAACGACUUCUCUCCACAGAGCAGCGCCUCGCUAGUCGUCAUCCAGAUGAGCCGCCCUCGGUCAACGCCGCUGUUCGCGGUGGGAAGGGGGGUGCUCGUUCCGGCGCCCGCUCUGCUGCUCCACCGGCUGCUUCGCCCCCCCCCUGCGGGAGGCAAGGGUCCUGUCUCUCCUGCUGCAUCUACUCAGUCGCGUCCCACCAUCGUCAUCGAGAACGGGCGCCCAUGUGCUUGUUGUGCCGCUUGUGGAGCUGCUGCCCCUUGUCAGCUAUGUUGCAUCCCUCGCCAUGUUGCGUCUCGCUGUCAUCAUUGUUUCCAGCCUGAGUUUCUUGGACUUGGCAACAACGGCAAGGGCAAUGAGCGUCAAGUCAACAUGACACAACAUCAAGGGAAGACUGAAGGAAAUAUGCCCUAGAGGCAAUAAUAAUGUUAUUAUUUUAUUUCCUUAUAUCAUUAUAAAUGUUUAUUAUUCAUGCUAGAAUUGUAUUAUCCGGAAACAUAAUACUUGUGUGAAUACAUAGACAAACCAAACGUCACUAGUAUGCCUCUACUUGACUAGCUCGUUAAUCGAAGAUGGUUAUGUUUCCUAACCAUAGACAUGUGUUGUCAUUUGAUUAAUGGGAUCACAUCAUUAGGAGAAUGAUGUGAUUGACAUGACCCAUUCCAUUAGCUUAGCACCCGAUCAUUUAGUAUGUUGCUAUUGCUUUCUUCAUGACUUAUACAUGUUCCUAUGACUAUGAGAUUAUGCAACUCCCGUUUACCGGAGGAACACUUUGUGUGCUACCAAACGUCACAACGUAACUGGGUGAUUAUAAAGGAGCUCUACAGGUGUCUCCAAAGGUGAAUGUUGGGUUGGCGUAUUUUGAGAUUAGGAUUUGUCACUCCAAUUGUCGGAGAGGUAUCUCUGGGCCCUCUCGGUAAUGCACAUCACAUAAGCCUUGCAAGCAUUACAACUAAUGAGUUAGUUGCAAUAUGAUGUAUUACGAAAUGAGUAAAGAGACUUGCCGGUAACGAGAUUGAACUAGGUAUUGAGAUACCGACGACCGAAUCUCGGGCAAGUAACAUACCGAUGACAAAGGGAACAAGGUAUGUUGUUAUGCGGUCUGACUGAUAAAGAUCUUCGUAGAAUAUGUAGGAGCCAAUAUGAGCAUCCAGGUUCCGCUAUUGGUUAUUGACCGGAGACGUGUCUCGGUCAUGUCUACAUUGUUCUCGAACCCGUAGGGUCCGCACGCUUAAGGUUUCGAUGACAGUUAUAUUAUGAGUUUAUGAGUUUUGAUGUACCGAAGUUAGUUCGGAGUCCCGGAUGUGAUCACGGACAUGACGAGGAGUCUCGAAAUGGUCGAGACAUAAAGAUUGAUAUAUUGGACGGCUAUAUUCGGACACCGGAAGUGUUCCGGGUGAUUGCGGAGAAAACCGGAGAGCCGGAGGGUUACCGGAACCCCCCAGGAGAAGUAAUGGGCCAUAUGGGCCUUAGUGGAGAGAGAGAGGGGCAGGCAAAGGUGGGCCGCACGCCUCCUCCCCCCUGGUCCGAAUUGGAGUUGGAGAGGGGGGCGGCGCCCCCCUUUCCUUCUCCCUCCCCACUUCUUUCCCCCUCCUAGUAGGAGUCCUACUCCUACUAGGAGGAGGAUUCCUCCUUGGCGCGCCAUAGAGGCCGGCCGGCCUCCUCCCCUUGAUCCUUUAUAUACAGGGGCAGGGGGCACCCCUAGACACACAAGUUGAUCCACGUGAUCAUAUUCUUAGCCGUGUGCGGUGCCCCCUUCCAUCAUAAUCCUCGAUAAUAUUGUAGCGGUGCUUAGGCGAAGCCCUGCGACGGUAGUACAUCAAGAUCGUCACCACGCCGUCGUGCUGACGGAACUCUUCCCCGACACUUUGCUGGAUCGGAGUCUGGGGAUCGUCAUCGAGCUGAACGUGUGCUAGAACUCGGAGGUGCCGUAGUUUCGGUGCUUGAUCGGUUGGGCCGUGAAGACAUACGACUACAUCAACCACGUUGUGCUAACGCUUCUGCUGUCGGUCUACAAGGGUACGUAGAUCACACUCUUCCCUCGUUGCUAUGCAUCACCAUGAUCUUGUGUGUGCGUAGGAUUUUUUUUGAAAUUACUACGUUCCUCGAUAGUGGCAUCCGAGCCUAUGUUUUAUGUGUUGAUGUUAUAUGCACGAGUAGAACACAAGUGAGUUGUGGGUGAUAUAAGUCAUACUGCUUACUAGCAUGUCAUACUUUGGUUCGGCGGUAUUGUUGGACGAAGCGGCCCGGACCAACAUUACGCGUACGCUUACGCGAGACCGGUUCUCCUGACGUGCUUUGCACAAAGGUGGCUAGCGGGUGACAGUUUCUCCAACUUUAGUUGAACCGAGUGUGGCUACGCCCGGUCCCUGCGAAGGUUAAAACAGCACCAACUUGACAAACUAUCGUUGUGGGUUUGAUGCGUAGGUAAGAUUGGUUCUUGCUUAAGCCCGUAGCAGCCACGUAAAACUUGCAACAACAAAGUAGAGGACGUCUAACUUGUUUUUGCAGGGCAUGUUGUGAUGUGAUAUGGUCAAGACAUGAUGCUAAAUUUUAUUGUAUGAGAUGAUCAUGUUUUGUAACCAAGUUAUCGGCAACUGGCAGGAGCCAUAUGGUUGUCGCUUUAUUGUAUGCAAUGCAAUUGCGCUGUAAUGCUUUACUUUAUCACUAAACGGUAGCGAUAGUCGUGGAAGCAUAAAAUUGGCGAGACGACAACGAUGCUACGAUGGUGAUCAAGGUGUCGCGCCGGUGACGAUGGUGAUCACGACGGUGCUUCGAAGAUGGAGAUCACAAGCACAAGAUGAUGAUGGCCAUAUCAUAUCACUUAUAUUGAUUGCAUGUGAUGUUUAUCUUUUAUGCAUCUUAUCUUGGUUUGAUUGACGGUAGCAUUUUAAGAUGAUCUCUCACUAAUUAUCAAGAAGUGUUCUCCCUGAGUAUGCACUGUUGCGAAAGUUCUUCGUGCUGAGACACCACGUGAUGAUCAGGUGUGAUAGGCUCUACGUUCAAAUACAAUGGGUGCAAAACAGUUGCACACGCAGAAUACUCAGGUUAUACUUGACGAGCCAAGCAUAUACAGAUAUGGCCUCGGAACAUAGAGACCGAAAGGUCGAGCGUGAAUCAUAUAGUAGAUAUGAUCAACAUAGGGAUGUUCACCAAUGAAACUGCUCCAUCUCACGUGAUGAUCGGACAUGGUUUAGUUGAUUUGGAUUACGUAAUCACUUAGAGGAUUAGAGAGAUGUCUGUCUAUGUGGGAGUUCUUUAGUAAUAUGAUUAAUUGAACCUAAAUUUAUCAUGAACUUAGUACCUGAUAGUAUCUUACUUGUUUAUGUUUGAUUGUAGAUAGAUGGCCCGUGCUGUUGUUCCAUUGAAUUUUAAUGCGUUCCUUGAGAAAGCAAAGUUGAAAGAUGAUGGUAGCAAUUACACGGACUGGGUCUGUAACUUGAGGAUUAUCCUCAUUGCUGCACAGAAGAAUUACGUCCUGGAAGCACCGCUGGGUGCCAGGCCUGCUGCUGGAGCAAGACCAGAUGUUAUAAACGUCUAGCAGAGCAAAGCUGAUGACUACUCGAUAGUUCAAUGUGCCAUGCUUUACGGCUUAGAAUCGGGACUUCAACGACGUUUUGAACGUCAUGGAGCAUAUGAGAUGUUCCAGGAGUUGAAGUUAAUAUUUCAAGCAAAUGCCCAGAUUGAGAGAUAUGAAGUCUCCAAUAAGUUCUAUAGCUGCAAGAUGGAAGAGAACAGUUCUGUCAGUGAGCAUAUACUCAAAAUGUCUGGGUAUAAUAAUCACUUGAUUCAAUUGGAAGUUAAUCUUCCACAUGAUUGCGUCAUUGACAGAAUUCUCCAAUCACUACCACCAAGCUACAAGAGCUUCGUGAUGAACUAUAAUAUGCAAGGGAUGAAUAAGACUAUUCCCGAGCUCUUCGCAAUGCUGAAAGUUGCGGAGGUAGAAAUCAAGAAGGAGCAUCAAGUGUUGAUGGUCAACAAGACCACUAGUUUCAAGAAAAAGGGCAAAGGGAAGAAGAAGGAGAACUUCAAAAAGAACAGCAAGCAAGUUGCUACUCAAGAGAAGAAACCCAAACCUGGACCUAAGCCUGAAACAGAGUGCUUCUGCUGCAAGCAGACUGGUCACUGCAAGCGGAACUGCCCCAAGUAUUUGGCGGAUAAGAAGGAUGGCAAGGUGAACAAAGGUAUAUGUGAUAUACAUGUUAUUGAUGUGUACCUUACUAAUGCUCGCAGUAGCACCUGGGUAUUUGAUACUGGUUCUGUUGCUAAUAUUUGCAACUCGAAACAGGGACUACGGAUUAAGCGAAGAUUGGCUAAGGACGAGGUGACGAUGCGCGUAGGAAAUGGUUCCAAAGUCGAUGUGAUCGCAGUCGGCACGCUACCUUUACAUCUACCUUCGGGAUUAGUAUUAGACCUAAAUAAUUGUUAUUUGGUGCCAGCGUUAAGCAUGAACAUUAUAUCUGGAUCUUGUUUGAUGCGAGACGGUUAUUCAUUUAAAUCAGAGAAUAAUGGCUGUUCUAUUUAUAUGAGUAAUAUCUUUUAUGGUCAUGCACCCUUAAAGAGUGGUCUAUUCUUAUUAAAUCUCGAUAGUAGUGACACACAUAUUCAUAGUGUUGAAGCCAAAAGAUGCAGAGUUGAUAAUGAUAGUGCAACUUAUUUGUGGCACUGCCGUUUGGGUCAUAUCGGUGUAAAGCGCAUGAAGAAACUCCAUACUGAUGGGCUUUUGGAACCACUUGAUUAUGAAUCACUUGGUACUUGUGAACCGUGCCUUAUGGGUAAGAUGACAAAAACAUCGUUCUCCGGUACUAUGGAGAGAGCAACAGAUUUGUUGGAAAUCAUACAUACAGAUGUAUGUGGUCCGAUGAAUGUUGAGGCUCGUGGCGGAUAUCGUUAUUUUCUCACCUUCAUAGAUGACUUAAGCAAAUAUGGGUAUAUCUACUUAAUGAAACAUAAGUAUGAAACAUUUGAAAAGUUCAAAGAAUUUCAGAGUGAAGUUUAAAAUCAUCGUAACAAGAAAAUAAAAUUCCUACGAUCUGAUCGUGGAGGAGAAUAUUUGAGUUACGAGUUUGGUGUACAUUUGAAACAAUGUGUAAUAGUUUCGCAACUCACGCCACCCGGAACACCACAGCGUAAUGGUGUGUCCGAACGUUGUAAUCGUACUUUACUAGAUAUGGUGCGAUCUAUGAUGUCUCUUACUGAUUUACCGCUAUCGUUUUGGGGAUAUGCUCUAGAGACGGCCGCAUUCACGUUAAAUAGGGCACCAUCAAAAUCCAUUGAGACGACGCCUUAUGAACUGUGGUUUGGCAAGAAACCAAAGUUGUCGUUUCUGAAAGUUUGGGGCUGCGAUGCUUAUGUGAAAAAUCUUCAACCUGAUAAGCUCGAACCUAAAUCGGAGAAAUGUGUCUUCAUAGGAUAUCCAAAGGAAACUAUUGGAUACACCUUCUAUCACAGAUCCGAACGCAAGACUUUUGUUGCUAAAUUCGGGAACUUUCUGGAGAAGGAGUUUAUCUCGAAAGAAGUGAGUGGGAGGAAAGUAGAACCUGACGAGGUAACUGUACCUGCUCCCUUAUUGGAAAGUAGUACAUCACAGAAACCUGUUUCUGUGACACCUACACCAAUUAGUGAGGAAGCUAAUGAUAAUGAUCGUGAAACUUCAGAACAAGAUACUACUGAACCUCGUAGAUCAACCAGAGUAAGAUCCGCGCCAGAGUGGUAUGGUAAUCCUGUUCUGGAAGUCAUGCUACUAAAUCAUGAUGAACCUACGAACUAUGAAGAAGCGAUGGUGAGCCCAGAUUCCGCAAAAUGGCUUGAAGACAUGAAAUCUGAGAUGGGAUCCAUGUAUGCGAACAAAGUAUGGACUUUGGUUGACUUGCCCAAUGAUCAGCAAGCAAUUGAGAAUAAAUGGAUCUUCAAGAAGAAGACUGACGCUGACGGUAAUAUUAUUGUCUACAAAGCUCAACUUAUCGCAAAAGGUUUUCGGCAAGUUCAAGGGAUUGACUACGAUGAGACCUUCUCACCCGUAGCGAUGCUUAAGUCUGUCCGAAUCAUGUUAGCAAUUGCCGCAUUUUAUGAUUAUGAAAUUUGGCAAAUGGAUGUGAAAACUGCAUUCCUGAAUGGAUUUCUGCAAGAAGAGUUGUAUAUGAUGCAGCCGGAAGGUUUUGUCGAUCCAAAAGGAGCUAACAAAGUGUGCAAGCUCCAGCGAUCCAUUUAUGGACGGGUGCAAGCCCCUCGGAGUUGGAAUAAACACUUUGAUAGUGUGAUCAAAGCAUCUGUUGGGGAACGCAGUAAUUUCAAAAAAUUUCCUACGCACACGCAAGAUCAUGGUGAUGCAUAGCAACGAGAGGGGAGAGUGUUGUCUAUGUACCCACGCAGACCGACUGCGGAAGCGUUGACGCAAUAUAGAGGAAGUAGUCGUACGUCUUCCCGAUCCGACCGAUCCAAGUACCGUUACUCCGGCACCUCCGAGUUCUUAGCACACGUACAGCUCGAUGACGAUCCCCGGGUUCCGAUCCAGCAAAGCGUCGGGGAGGAGUUCCGUCAGCACGACGGCAUGGUGACGAUCUUGAUGUUCUAUCGUCGCAGGGCUUCGCCUAAGCACCGCUACAAUAUGAUUGAGGUGGAAUAUGGUGGCAGGGGGCACCGCACACGGCUAAGGAACGAUCUCAAUGAUCAACUUGUGUGUUAGGGUGCCCCCCUGCCUCCGUAUAUAAAGGAGCCAAGGGGGAGGGGGCGGCCGGCCAAGGAGGGCGCGCCAAGGGAGUCCUACUCCCUCUGGGAGUAGGAUUCCCCCCCUCCCAAUCCUAGUUGGAAUAGGAUUCCUCGAGGGGGGGGGGGGGAAGAGAGAGAGGGGACCGGCCACCUCUCCUUGUCCUAAUAGGACUAGGGGAGGGGGGAGGCGCGCGGCCACCUUGGGCUGCCCCUUUCUCCUUUCCACUAAAGCCCACUAAGGCCCAUAUAGUUCCGGGGGGGUUCCGGUAACCUCCCGGUACUCCGGUAAAAUCCCGAUUUCACCCGGAACACUUCCGAUAUCCAAACAUAGGCUUCCAAUAUAUCAAUCUUUAUGUCUCGACCAUUUUGAGACUCCUCGUCAUGUCCAUGAUCACAUCCGGGACUCCAAACAAUCUUCGGUACAUCAAAAUGCAUAAACUCAUAAUAACUAUCAUCAUAACGUUAAGCGUGCGGACCCUACGGUUCGAGAACAAUGUAGACAUGACCGAGACACGUCUCCGGUCAAUAACCAAUAGCGGGACCUGGAUGCCCAUAUUGGCUCCUACAUAUUCUACGAAGAUCUUUAUCGGUCAGACCGCAUAACAACAUACGUUGUUCCCUUUGUCAUUGAUAUGUUACUUGCCCGAGAUUCGAUCGUCGGUAUCCAAUACCUAGUUCAAUCUCGUUACUGGCAAGUCUCUUUACUCGUUCCGUAAUACAUCAUCCCGCAACUAACUCAUUAGUUGCAAUGCUUGCAAGGCUUAUGUGAUGUGCAUUACCGAGAGGGCCCAGAGAUACCUCUCCGACAAUCGGAGUGACAAAUCCUAUUCUCGAAAUACGCCAACCCAACAUCUACCAUUGGAGACACCUGUAGAGCUCCUUUAUAAUCACCCAGUUACGUUGUGACGUUUGGUAGCACACAAAGUGUUCCUCCGGCAAACGGGAGUUGCAUAAUCUCAUAGUCAUAGGAACAUGUAUAAGUCAUGAAGAAAGCAAUAGCAACAUACUAAACGAUCGGGUGCUAAGCUAAUGGAAUGGGUCAUGUCAAUCAGAUCAUUCAACUAAUGAUGUGACCUCGUUAAUCAAAUAACAAUACUUUGUUCAUGGUUUGGAAACAUAACCAUCUUUGAUUAACGAGCUAGUCAAGUAGAGGCAUACUAGUGACACUAAGUUUGUCUAUGUAUUCACACAUGUAUUAUGUUUCCGGUUAAUACAAUUCUUGCAUGAAUAAUAAAUAUUUAUCAUGAUAUAAGGAAAUAAAUAAUAACUUUAUUAUUGCCUCUAGGGCAUAUUUCCUUCAGUCUCCCACUUGCACUAGAGUCAAUAAUCUAGAUUACACAGUAAUGAUUCUAACACCCAUGGAGCCUUGGUGCUGAUCAUGUUUUGCUCGUGGAAGAGGCUUAGUAAAUGGGUCUGCAACAUUCAGAUCCGUAUGUAUCUUGCAAAUCUCUAUGUCUCCCACCUGGACUAGAUCCCGGAUGGAAUUGAAGCAUCUCUUGAUGUGCUUGGUCCUCUUGUGAAAUCUGGAUUCCUUUUCCAAAGCAAUUGCACCAGUAUUAUCACAAAAGAUUUUCAUUGGACCCGAUGCACUAGGUAUGACACCUAGAUCGGAUAUGAACUCCUUCAUCCAGACUCCUUCGUUCGCUGCUUCCGAAGCAGCUAUGUAUUCCUCUUCACAUGUAGAUCCCGCUACGACGCUUUGUUUAGAACUGUACCAACUGACAGCUCCACCGUUUAAUGUAAACACAUAUCAUGUUUGCGAUUUAGAAUCGUCCGGAUCAGUGUCUAAGCUCGCAUCAACGUAACCUUUUACGAUGAGCUCUUUGUCACCUCCAUAUACGAGAAACAUAUCCUUAGUCCUUUUUAGGUAUUUCAGGAUGUUCUUGACCGCUGUCCGGUGAUCCACUCCUGGAUUACUUUGGUACCUCCCUGCUAAACUUAUAGCAAGGCACACAUCAGGUCUGGUACACAGCAUUGCAUACAUGAUAGAGCCUAUGGCUGAAGCAUAGGGAACAUCUUUCAUUUUCUCUCUAUCUUCUGCAGUGGUCGGGCAUUGAGUCUUACUCAACUUCACACCUUGUAACACAGGCAAGAACCCUUUCUUUGCUUGAUCCAUUUUGAACUUCUUCAAAACUUUGUCAAGGUAUGUGCUUUGUGAAAGUCCAAUUAAGCGUCUUGAUCUAUCUCUAUAGAUCUUAAUGCCUAAUAUGUAAGCAGCUUCACCGAGGUCUUUCAUUGAAAAACUUUUAUUCAAGUAUCCCUUUAUGCUAUCCAGAAAUUCUAUAUCAUUUCCAAUUAGUAAUAUGUCAUCCACAUAUAAUAUCAGAAAUGCUACAGAGCUCCCACUCACUUUCUUGUAAAUACAGGCUUCUCCAAAAGUCUGUAUAAAACCAAAUGCUUUGAUCACACUAUCAAAGCGUUUAUUCCAACUCCGAGAGGCUUGCACCAGUCCAUAAAUGGAUCGCUGGAGCUUGCACACUUUGUUAGCUCCCUUUGGAUCAACAAAACCUUCUGGUUGCAUCAUAUACAACUCUUCUUCUAGAAAUCCAUUCAGGAAUGCAGUUUUGACAUCCAUCUGCCAAAUUUCAUAAUCAUAAAAUGCGGCAAUUGCUAACAUGAUUCGGACAGACUUAAGCAUCACUACGGGUGAGAAGGUCUUAUCGUAGUCAAUCCCUUGAACUUGUCGAAAACCUUUUGCGACAAGUCAAGCUUUGUAGACAGUAACAUUACCAUCAACGUCAGUCUUCUUCUUGAAGAUCCAUUUAUUCUCAAUUGCUUGCCGAUCAUCGGGCAAGUCAACCAAAGUCCAUACUUUGUUUUCAUACAUGGAUCCCAUCUCAGAUUUCAUGGCUUCAAGCCAUUUUGUGGAAUCUGGGCUCACCAUCGCUUCUUCAUAGUUCGUAGGUUCAUCAUGAUCUAGUAGCAUGACUUCCAGAACAGGAUUACCAUACCACACUGGUGCGGAUCUCACUCUGGUUGAUCUACGAGGUUCAGUAGUAUCUUGAUCUAAAGUUUCAUGAUCAUCAUCAUUAGCUUCCUCACUAACUGGUGUAGGUGUCACUGAAACAGUUUUCUGUGAUGUACUACUUUCCAAUAAGGGAGCAGGUACAGUUACCUCGUCAAGUUCUACUUUCCUCCCACUCACUUCUUUCGAGAGAAACUCCUUCUCUAGAAAGGAUCCAUUCUUAGCAAUGAAUGUCUUGCCUUUGGAUCUGUGAUAGAAGGUGUACCCAACAGUCUCCUUUGGGUAUCCUAUGAAGACACAUUAUUCCGAUUUGGGUUCGAGCUUAUCAGGUUGAAGCUUUUUCACAUAAGCAUCGCAGCCCCAAACUUUAAGAAACGACAACUUUGGUUUCUUGCCAAUCCACAGUUCAUAAGGCGUUGUCUUAACGGAUUUUGAUGGUGCCCUAUUUAACAUGAAUGCGACCGUCUCUAAAGCAUAACCCCAAAACGAUAGCGGUAAAACAGUAAGAGACAUCAUAGAUCACACCAUAUCUAGUAAAGUACGAUUACGACGUUCGGAAACACCAUUGCGUUGUGGUGUUCCGGGUGGCGUGAGUUGCGAAACUAUUCCACAAUUUUUCAAAUGUACACCAAACUCGUAACUCAAAUAUUCUCCUCUACGAUCAGAUCGUAGAAACUUUAUUUUUCUUGUUACGAUGAUUUUCAACUUCACUCUGAAAUUCUUUGAACUUUUCAAAUGUUUCAGACUUAUGUUUCAUUAAGUAGAUAUACCCAUAUCUGCUUAAAUCAUCUGUGAAGGUGAGAAAAUAACGAUAUCCGCCACGAGCCUCAAUAUUCAUCGGACCACAUACAUCUGUAUGUAUGAUUUCCAACAAAUCUGUUGCUCUCUCCAUAGUACCGGAGAACGGUGUUUUAGUCAUCUUGCCCAUGAGGCACGGUUCGCAAGUACCAAGUGAUUCAUAAUCAAGUGGUUCCAAAAGCCCAUCAGCAUGGAGUUUCUUCAUGCGUUUUACACCGAUAUGACCUAAACGGCAGUGCCACAAAUAAGUUGCACUAUCAUUAUCAACUCUGCAUCUUUUGGCUUCAACAUUAUGGAUAUGUGUAUUACUACUAUCGAGAUUCAUCAAAAAUAGACCACUCUUCAAAGGUGCAUGACCAUAAAAGAUAUUACUCAUAUAAAUAGAACAACCAUUAUUCUCUGAUUUAAAUGAAUAACCGUCUCGCAUCAACCAAGAUCCAGAUAUAAUGUUCAUGCUCAACGCAGGCACCAAAUAACAAUUAUUUAGGUCUAAUACUAAUCCCGAAGGUAGAUGUAGAGGUAGCGUGCCGAUCGCGAUCACAUCGACUUUGGAACCAUUUCCCACGCGCAUCGUCACCUUGUCCUUUGCCAGUGUUCGCUUAAUCCGUAGUCCCUGUUUCGAGUUGCAAAUAUUAGCAACAGAACCAGUAUCAAAUACCCAGGUGCUACUGCGAGCUCUAGUAAGGUACACAUCAAUAACAUGUAUAUCACAUAUACCUUUGUUCACCUUGCCAUCCUUCUUAUCCGCCAAAUACUUGGGGCAGUUCCGCUUCCAGUGACCAGUCUGCUUGCAGUAGAAGCACUCAGUUUCAGGCUUAGGUCCAGACUUGGGUUUCUUCUCCUGAGCAGCAACUUGCUUGCCGUUCUUCUUGAAGUUCCCCUUCUUCUUCCCUUUGCCCUUCUUCUUGAAACUAGUGGUCUUGUUAACCAUCAAUACUUGAUGCUCCUUCUUGAUUUCUACCUCCGCGGCUUUCAGCAUUGCGAAGAGCUCGGGAAUAGUCUUAUUCAUCCCUUGCAUAUUAUAGUUCAUCACGAAGCUCUUGUAGCUUGGUGGCAGUGAUUGGAGAAUUCUGUCAAUGACGCAAUCAUCUGGAAGAUUAACUCCCAUCUGAAUCAAGUGAUUAUUAUACCCAGACAUUUUGAGUAUAUGCUCACUGACAGAACUGUUCUCCUCCAUCUUGCAGCUAUAGAACUUAUUGGAGACUUCAUAUCUCUCAAUCCGGGCAUUUGCUUGAAAUAUUAACUUCAACUCCUGGAACAUCUCAUAUGCUCCAUGACGUUCAAAACGUUGUUGAAGUCCCGAUUCUAAGCCGUAAAGCAUGGCACACUGAACUAUCGAGUAGUCAUCAGCUUUGCUCUGCCAGACGUUCAUAACAUCUGGUGUUGCUCCAGCAGCAGGCCUGGCACCUAGCGGUGCUUCCAGGACGUAAUUCUUCUGAGCAGCAAUGAGGAUAAUCCUCAAGUUACGGACCCAGUCCAUGUAAUUGCUACCAUCAUCUUUCAACUUUGCUUUCUCAAGGAACGCAUUAAAAUUCAACGGAACAACAACACGAGCCAUCUAUCUACAAUUAACAUAAACAAGCAAGAUACUAUCAGGUACUAAGUUCAUGAUAAGUUUAAGUUCAAUUAAUCAAAUUACUUAAGAACUCCCACUUAGAUAGACAUCCCUCUAAUCCUCUAAGUGAUCACGUGAUCCAAAUCAACUAAACCAUAACCGAUCAUCACGUGAGAUGGAGUAGUUAUCAAUGGUGAACAUCGUUAUGUUGAUCAUAUCUACUAUAUGAUUCACGCUCGACCUUUCGGUCUCCGUAUUCCGAGGCCAUAUCUGCAUAUGCUAGGCUCGUCAAGUUUAACCUGAGUAUUCUGCGUGUGCAAAAACUGGCUUGCACCCGUUGUAGAUGGACGUAGAGCUUAUCACACCCGAUCAUCACGUGGUGUCUGGGCACGACGAACUUUGACAACGGUGCAUACUCAGGGAGAACACUUCUUGAUAAUUUAGUGAGAGAUCAUCUUAUAAUGCUACCGUCAAUCAAAGCAAGAUAAGAUGCAUAAAAGAUAAACAUCACAUGCAAUCAAUAUAAGUGAUAUGAUAUGGCCAUCAUUGUCUUGUACCUGUGAUCUCCAUCUCCGAAGCACCGUCAUGAUCGCCAUCGUCACCGGCGCGACACCUUGAUCUCCAUCGUAGCAUCGUUGUCGUCUCGCCAAUCUUAUGCUUCUACGACUAUCGCUACCGUUUAGUGAUAAAGUAAAGCAUUACAUCGCGAUUUCAUUGCAUACAAUAAAGCGACAACCAUAUGGCUCCUGCCAGUUGCCGAUAACUCGGUUACAAAACAUGAUCAUCUCAUACAAUAAAAUUCAUCAUCAUGCCUUGACCAUAUCACAUCACAACAUGCCCUGCAAAAACAAGUUAGACGUCCUCUAUUUUGUUGUUGCAAGUUUUACGUGGCUGCUACGGGCUUAAGCAAGAACCAAUCUCACCUACGCAUCAAAACCACAACGAUAGUUUGUCAAUUUGACUCCGUUUUAACCUUCGCAAGGACCGAGCGUAGCCAUACUCGGUUCAACUAAAGUUGGAGAGACAGUCGCCCGCAAGCCACCUAUGUGCAAAGCACGUCGGGGGAACCGGUCUCGCGUAAGCGUACGCGUAAUGUUGGUCCGGGUCGUCUCGUCUAACAAUACCACUGAACCAAAGUAUGACAUGCUGGUAGGCAGUAUGACUUAUAUCGCCCACAACUCACUUGUGUUCUACUCGUGCAUAUAAAAUCAACAUAUAAAACCUAGGCUCGGAUGCCACUGUUGGGGAACGCAGUAAUUUCAAAAAAAUUCCUACACACACGCAAGAUCAUGGUGAUGCAUAGCAACGAGAGGGGAGAGUGUUGUCUACGUACCCACGCAGACCGACUGCGGAAGCGUUGACGCAACAUAGAGGAAGUAGUCGUACGUCUUCCCGAUCCGACCGAUCCAAGUACCGUUACUCCGGCACCUCCGAGUUCUUAGCACACGUACAGCUCGAUGAUGAUCCCCGGGCUCCGAUCCAGCAAAGCGUCGGGGAGGAGUUCCGUCAGCACGAUGGCGUGGUGACGAUCUUGAUGUUCUACCAUCGCAGGGCUUUGCCUAAGCACCGCUACAAUAUGAUUGAGGUGGAAUAUGGUGGCAGGGGGCACCGCACACGGCUAAGGAACGAUCUCAAUGAUCAACUUGUGUGUUAGGGUGCCCCCCUGCCUCUGUAUAUAAAGGAGCCAAGGGGGAGGGGGCGGCCGGCCAAGGAGGGCGCGCCAAGGGAGUCCUACUCCCUCUGGGAGUAGGAUUCCCCCCCAAUCCUAGUUGGAAUAGGAUUCCUCGAGGGGGGGAAAGAGAGAGAGGGGGCCGGCCACCUCUCCUUGUCCUAAUAGGACUAGGGGAGGGGGGAGGCACGCAGCCACCUUGGGCUGCCCCUUUCUCCUUUCCACUAAAGCCCACUAAGGCCCAUAUAGUUCCCGCGGGGUUCCGGUAACCUCCCGGUACUCCAGUAAAAUCCCGAUUUCACCCGGAACACUUCCGAUAUCCAAACAUAGGCUUCCAAUAUAUCAAUCUUUAUGUCUCGACCAUUUUGAGACUCCUCGUCAUGUCCAUGAUCACAUACGGGACUCUGAACAAUCUUCGGUACAUCAAAAUGCAUAAACUCAUAAUAACUGUCAUCGUAAUGUUAAGCGUGCGGACCCUACGGUUCGAGAACAAUGUAGACAUGACCGAGACACGUCUCCGGUCAAUAACCAAUAGCGGGACCUGGAUGCCCAUAUUGGCUCCUACAUAUUCUACGAAGAUCUUUAUCGGUCAUACCGCAUAACAACAUACGUUGUUCCCUUUGUCAUCGAUAUGUUACUUGCCCGAGAUUCGAUCGUCGGUAUCCAAUACCUAGUUCAAUCUCGUUACUGGCAAGUCUCUUUACUCGUUCCGUAAUACAUCAUCCCGCAACUAACUCAUUAGUUGCAAUGCUUGCAAGGCUUAUGUGAUGUGCAUUACCGAGAGGGCCCAGAGAUACCUCUCCGACAAUCGGAGUGACAAAUCCUAUUCUCGAAAUACGCCAACCCAACAUCUACCAUUGGAGACACCUGUAGAGCUCCUUUAUAAUCACCCAGUUAUGUUGUGACAUUUGGUAGCACACAAAGUGUUCCUCUGGCAAACGGGAGUUGCAUAAUCUCAUAGUCAUAGGAACAUGUAUAAGUCAUGAAGAAAGCAAUAGCAACAUACUAAACGACCGGGUGCUAAGCUAAUGGAAUGGGUCAUGUCAAUCAGAUCAUUCAACUAAUGAUGUGACCUCGUUAAUCAAAUAACAAUACUUUGUUCAUGGUUAGGAAACAUAACCAUCUUUGAUUAACGAGCUAGUCAAGUAGAGGCAUACUAGUGACACUAAGUUUGUCUAUGUAUUCACACAUGUAUUAUGUUUCCGGUUAAUACAAUUCUAGCAUGAAUAAUAAACAUUUAUCAUGAUAUAAGGAAAUAAAUAAUAACUUUAUUAUUGCCUCUAGGGCAUAUUUCCUUCAUUUGGUUUUAUACAGACUUUUGGAGAAGCCUGUAUUUACAAGAAAGUGAGUGGGAGCUCUGUAGCAUUUCUGAUAUUAUAUGUAGAUAACAUAUUACUAAUCGGAAAUGAUAUAGGAUUUCUGGAUAGCAUAAAAGGAUACUUGAAUAAAAGUUUUUCAAUGAAAGACCUCGGUGAAGCUGCCUACAUAUUGGGCAUCAAGAUCUAUAGAGACAGAUCGAGACGCUUAAUUGGACUUUCACAAAGCACAUACCUUGACAAAGUUUUGAAAAAGUUCAAAAUGGAUCAAGCAAAGAAAGGAUUCUUGCCUGUGUUACAAGGUGUGAAAUUGAGUAAGACUCAAAGUCCGACCAAUGCAGAAGAUAGAGAGAAAAUGAAAGAUGUUCCCUAUGCUUCAGCCAUAGGCUCUAUCAUGUAUGCAAUGCUGUGUACCAGACCUGAUGUGUGUCUUGCUAUAAGUCUAGCAGGGAGGUACCAAAGUAAUCCAGGAGUGGAUCACUGGACAUCGGUCAAGAACAUCCUGAAAUACCUGAAAAGGACUAAGGAUAUGCUUCUCAUAUAUGGAGGUGACAAAGAGCUCAUCGUAAAUGGUUACGUUGAUGCAAGCUUUGACACUGAUCCGGACGAUUCUUAAUCGCAAACCGGAUACGUGUUUACAUUAAACGGUGGAGCUGUUAGUUGGUGCAGUUCUAAACAAAGCAUUGUGGCGGGAUCUACAUGUGAAGCGGAGUAAAUAGCUGCUUCAGAAGCAGCAAACGAAGGAGUCUGGAUGAAGGAGUUCAUAUCCGAUCUAGGUGUCAUACCUAGUGCAUCGGGUCCAAUGAAUUGUUUUGUGACAAUACUAGUGCAAUUGCCUUGGCAAAGGAAUCCAGAUUUCACAAGAGAACCAAACACAUCAAGAGACGCUUCAAUUCCAUCCAGGAUCUAGUCCAGGUGGGAGACAUACAGAUUUGCAAGAUACAUACAGAUCUGAAUGUAGCAGACCCGUUGACUAAGCAUCUUCCACGAGCAAAACAUGAUCAACACCAAAGCUCCAUGGGUGUUAGAAUCAUUACUGUGUAAUCUAGAUUAUUGACUCUAGUGCAAGUGGGAGACUGAAGGAAAUAUGCCCUAGAGGCAAUAAUAAUGUUAUUAAUUUAUUUCCUUAUAUCAUGAUAAAUGUUUAUUAUUCAUACUAGAAUUGUAUUAUCCGGAAACAUAAUACUUGUGUGAAUACAUAGACAAACCAAACAUCACUAGUAUGCCUCUACUUGACUAGCUCGUUAAUCGAAGAUGGUUAUGUUUCCUAACCAUAGACAUGUGUUGUCAUUUGAUUAAUGGGAUCACAUCAUUAGGAGAAUGAUGUGAUUGACAUGACCCAUUCCAUUAGCUUAGCACCCGAUCGUUUAGUAUGUUGCUAUUGCUUUCUUCAUGACUUAUACAUGUUCCUAUGACUAUGAGAUUAUGCAACUCCCGUUUACCGGAGGAACACUUUGUGUGCUACCAAACGUCACAACGUAACUGGGUGAUUAUAAAGGAGCUCUACAGGUGUCUCCAAAGGUGAAUGUUGGGUUGGCGUAUUUCGAGAUUAGGAUUUGUCACUCCGAUUGUCGGAGAGGUAUCUCUGGGCCCUCUCGGUAAUGCACAUCACAUAAGCCUUGCAAGCAUUACAACUAAUGAGUUAGUUGCAAGAUGAUGUAUUACGAAACGAGUAAAGAGACUUGUCGGUAACAAGAUUGAACUAGGUAUUGAGAUACCGAUGAUCGAAUCUCGGGCAAGUAACAUACCGAUGACAAAGGGAACAACGUAUGUUGUUAUGUGGUCUGACCGAUAAAGAUCUUCGUAGAAUAUGUAGGAGCCAAUAUGAGCAUCCAGGUUCCGCUAUUGGUUAUUGACCGGAGACGUGUCUCGGUCAUGUCUACAUUGUUCUCGAACCCGUAGGGCACGCUUAAGGUUUCGAUGACAGUUAUAUUAUGAGUUUAUGAGUUUUGAUGUACCGAAGUUAGUUCGGAGUCCCGGAUGUGAUCACGGACAUGACGAGGAGUCUCGAAAUGGUCUAUACAUAAAGAUUGAUAUAUUGGACGGCUAUAUUCGGACACCGGAAGUGUUCCGGGUGAUUUCGGAGAAAACCGGAGAGCCGGAGGGUUACCAGAACCCCCCGGGAGAAGUAAUGGGCCAUAUGGGCCUUAGUGGAGAGAGAGAGGGGCAGGCAAAGGUGGGCCGCACGCCUCCUCCCCCCUGGUCCGAAUUAGAGUAGGAAAGGGGCGGGGGCGGCGCCCCCCUUUCCUUCUCCCUCCCCACUAGGAGGAGGACUCCUCCUUGGCGCGCCAUAGAGGCCGGCCGGCCUCCUCCCCUUGAUCCUUUAUAUACGGGGGCAGGGGGCACCCCUAGACACACAAGUUGAUCCACGUGAUCAUAUUCUUAGCCGUGUGCGGUGCCCCCUUCCACCAUAAUCCUCGAUAAUAUUGUAGCGGUGCUUAGGCGAAGCCCUGCGACGGUAGUACAUCAAGAUCGUCACCACGCCGUCGUGCUGACGGAACUCUUCCCCGACACUUUGCUGGAUCGGAGUCCGGGGAUCGUCAUCGAGCUGAACGUGUGCUAGAACUCGGAGGUGCCGUAGUUUCGGUGCUUGAUCGGUCGGGCCGUGAAGACGUACGACUACAUCAACCGCGUUGUGCUAACGCUUCCGCUGUCGGUCUACAAGGGUACGUAGAUCACACUCUUCCCUCGUUGCUAUGCAUCAGCAUGAUCUUGCGUGUGCAUAGGAAUGUUUUUUGAAAUUACUUCGUUCCCCAAUAAAGACUCGGUCUUAUAAUGUUGAUCCCACCUGGUACAUGGACACUGGCGCCACCGAGCAUGUGACUAAUGAAUUGGACAUGCUUGCUAUCUGUGAGGCCUACCAUGGUCCUGACAAGGUUCACACAGCCAAUGGGGCAGGUAUGCACAUCUCUCAUGUUGGCCAGACAUCUCUCCUCACACAUACAUCUAGGCAGUUGCGUCUUAAGAAUGUUCUUCGAGUCCCCACUGUUGCCCGUAACUUGCUAUCCGUUCCUAAACUUACUUAUGACAAUAACGUGUUUUGUGAGUUUCACCCGUUUCAUCUUUUUAUCAAGGAUCGGGCUACGCGGGGCGUACUUCUUAGAGGGCGCCUUCGUCAUGGACUAUAUGCUCUUGAUGUGCCGCGCUCUGUCUCUCCAGCUGUCCCUCAAGUCUUCAGUGCUAUUCGAGUGUCUCCCUCGCAAUGGCACUCUCGUCUUGGUCAUCCUGCCACACCCAUUGUUCGCCAUAUUCUUCAUCGUCAUGAGCUGCGGUCUGUGUCUAGUAAUAAAUAUAUUCCCGUUUGUGAUGCUUGUCAGUAGGGAAAGAGUCAUCAGUUACCUUUUCCUGUUUCUAGUCAUGUAGUCAAAACUCCUCUUGAGCUUGUGUUUUUAGAUGUGUGUGGUCCUGCUCAGAUGUCUGUUAGUGGUCAUGAGUGCCAUGUCAGCUUUAUUGAUGCUUAUAGUCGCUUUACUUCGAUUUAUAUUCUUAAACACAAGUCUGAUGUGUUUGAUGUUUUUCUUAAGUUCCAAACACAUGUUGAGCGUCUCCUCCAACACAAAAUUCUNNNNNNNNNNNNNNNNNNNNNNNNNNNNNNNNNNNNNNNNNNNNNNNNNNNNNNNNNNNNNNNNNNNNNNNNNNNNNNNNNNNNNNNNNNNNNNNNNNNNNNNNNNNNNNNNNNNNNNNNNNNNNNNNNNNNNNNNNNNNNNNNNNNNNNNNNNNNNNNNNNNNNNNNNNNNNNNNNNNNNNNNNNNNNNNNNNNNNNNNNNNNNNNNNNNNNNNNNNNNNNNNNNNNNNNNNNNAGUACCGCAAUCUAAAUACCUUCUUUGAGAAACUUGGGAUUUCUCAUCGUGUGUCUUGCCCUCAUACACAUCAGCAGAACGGUUCAGCUGAACGUAAGUAUCAUCAUCUUGUUGAGACUGGUUUGACCUUAUUAGCCAUGCUUCUGUUCCCUUUCGAUUUUGGAGUGAUGCUUUUACUACCGCCUGUUUUCUUAUAAAUAGGCUUCCGUCGCGGCUUCUUGGCAUGAAAACUCCACAUGAACUCUUGCUUCAUGAGACUCCGGACUACACUUUUCUCAAAUUCUUCGGUUGUGCAUGUUGGCCGCAUCUCCGUCCUUACAAUAGUCGCAAGCUUGAGUUUCGCUCUAAAAAUGUGUCUUCCUUGGGUACAGUCCGUUGCACAAAGAUUAUAAAUGCCUUCAUGUAGCGACCCGACCCGAAUGGAUCAAGUCUCUAUGCUUAUGUGUCAUCCCUAGAUCAGUAUGCUGACACACACAGUACUCGAAGGAUUUAUAACAGAGGUAAAUCACAUGUAUAAGUAACGUAAAUACUAUUACCUCAAUCCAAUAAUAUAGCGGAAGCAACAAGGUUGUGGAUUCCCAUCAACACCAACGGCAGAGUUGAUUAUAGGAAAUCGUAACCCUAACGUAUCACUUACUCGUCGUCUGAAAAGUCUGCAACAUGAAAAGUUGCAGCCCGAAAACGGGUCAGCACAUGGAAUAUGCUGGCAAUGUAACACAUAGAGAGUAAUGAAAGAAUAAGCUAUACUACAUGCAUGUAUGGCUGGUGGAAAGCUCUAUGGUUACAGUUUUGCGAAAAGCCGGUUUUUCCCUACUGCAAAGGAAUACAUUUAUUUAACUAUCAUGAUGGUUGUGAAACAUUGAGAAUGGUUGACAGCAUUCUCAAUCCCAAUUAAAAGUACACAUUAAAAACCAACAAUAUUAAUUAGAGGUAACAUGUUGAGAUUCAACAGGAUAAUCCAGGUACUAGAUACUCAAGAUGUCCAUAACCGGGGACACGGCUAAUCAUGAUUAGUUUGUACACUCUGCAGAGGUUUGCGCACUUUUCCCCACAAGACUCGAUCGCCUCCGUUUGGUUUUUCGCACUACAUGGUGUUUGAGAAACGGAUGACCGAGACACAGUCUUUCAGAAGCGCUAGCACCUUACAUGUGGGUAGACCUGUACACCUACAUCCCCUACAUCUGCUAGCCUACCCGUAAGAGUUCGCACAACUUACUCCACUAUGCCAGAGCCCAUAAUGGCUUGUGGCUGCACACGUAAGUUACUAGUAUGAAUUAUCUUAUGAUCCCUUUGAGCCUGGGUGGCGGUCCAAAACAAAACAGGCAAGUCCUGAUAGACAUCAGGUGCCUCAAUUCACCCAGAUGUGUAUUUAAGUUGCCACCUUAGAUAAACCAUUAAUAUUAACAAUCUUACAUCUGUUAUGGAAUACACUCACCCAAUCCACGUCUACUAGCAUAGCAUAGCAUAAUAAGCAAUGUAGAAGUAACUCCCAAAGGUUUCAUAAGUAAAACAGGUAAUAGGUACUACCCCAAUCUACUUCCCAUCCCACAAUUUAAUUAGAUCCUAAUCAUGCAAUGUUUGAGGAUUGGUCUAAUGCAUAAAAACUGGGUUGUAGAAAAGUAUGAUCAAGUGUUACUUGCCUGCAAAUUUGAUGAAGACGAUUCGCACUCAAAACUCUUGAUAGAUCUAAUCGUCACACUCCGGUCAAUCUAUCGUAAGCAAACAAUAGUAGCCACACAAUAAGUACUCAUCUAAUGCACAAGUAAAACUCGAACGAGAGAACGAACCAGAAAGUUCAACUUAAGAACUCCGGUUGCAAAGAAAGAAGGAGCCGAACAAACGACGGAAAACAAACGGCGGAAGAAAACAACUCGGUUCUAGCAAGUUGAAACUAGGUCAAAUUUUACCAUAACAAAAACUUGUUCAAGUUGAUUAGACGGAACGGUGGUUUCGAGAUGAAACUCCAGGCGCUUGAAUCACCUGAUUCCGAUAAACGGGCGAGAAGAUAAACUAGAACGAAGAUCAGAUCUGAGAUCGCGAUUGCGGAAUAAAUCCGACGAGAAGAAAAAGAAGAACGGUUAUACGAACGGGCGUUCAUGAACCUAGAAGAAUCUGGUGAUCACGUUCGUUAGGACGAAUGGUCCGGCGAACGGUCCAAAGGCAACUAAAUCGGAAAAGAAAACGAAUCCGAUCUAGGGUUUCGGAGAAGAAAACCGAAACGAAAAACCGAUCUAGAAAACGAAUUAGAAGAGAAGAAAAGAAUCGGAAGGAUUAGAAGAAAACGAUCCGAGGAAAAGAGACGCGGGGCAACCUUGGCGAGGGGCUCCGACGAGGGGCUCCGGCGACGGCGUGGGCACAAGGGCGGCGGCGCAAGACGGCGGCGGUGCGGNNNNNNNNNNNNNNNNNNNNNNNNNNNNNNNNNNNNNNNNNNNNNNNNNNNNNNNNNNNNNNNNNNNNNNNNNNNNNNNNNNNNNNNNNNNNNNNNNNNNNNNNNNNNNNNNNNNNNNNNNNNNNNNNNNNNNNNNNNNNNNNNNNNNNNNNNNNNNNNNNNNNNNNNNNNNNNNNNNNNNNNNNNNNNNNNNNNNNNNNNNNNNNNNNNNNNNNNNNNNNNNNNNNNNNNNNNNNNNNNNNNNNNNNNNNNNNNNNNNNNNNNNNNNNNNNNNNNNNNNNNNNNNNNNNNNNNNNNNNNNNNNNNNNNNNNNNNNNNNNNNNNNNNNNNNNNNNNNNNNNNNNNNNNNNNNNNNNNNNNNNNNNNNNNNNNNNNNNNNNNNNNNNNNNNNNNNNNNNNNNNNNNNNNNNNNNNNNNNNNNNNNNNNNNNNNNNNNNNNNNNNNNNNNNNNNNNNNNNNNNNNNNNNNNNNNNNNNNNNNNNNNNNNNNNNGGGGCGGCGGCGCGGUGUGGUGCGGAGGAGAGGAGAGGAGAGGUGUUGGUUUGAUGUGUUAGAGGGGGGGUGCUUGGGUAUUUAUAUUGGGGAGGAGAGGGUUUUGCUUGGGGUAGGGGACAAAAAAUAGAUUAGGAUUAGGAAACAAGAGGAAAAGAUCUAGAAAUAGAUACGGAAUAAACGAACAUAGGACAAGAGUCCUACUAGGACUAGGAAAGAAAGGAAGCGGCGGCUCCCUGGUGCGCGCGCGCUAUGGCCUCUUGGCCGGCCGGCGGCUAGCGGCUUGGGCCUUUGACUCAAGGCGCUGUGGAUUUUUUUUUAAACGGUCUCGCGCGCAGAAAAAUAAAUAAAAGAAAAUCUAAACGAACUUCAAAAUUAAUAAAGUAAAUUUUCCCCGAUUCGUAAAAAUGAGCCGAAUAAAAUAAACUUUACUCGGGACCUAAAAAGCAAUUUUUGAAAACACACAUUUUUUCCCUAUCCAAAUAAAAUGCGAAUAAAACUCCGGCAAACAAAGUUUGAUCUAUUUAUUAAAUCUUCAUUUUCCUAAAUUUGGGAAAGUCAUAUUAUUCUCUCUCUUAUAUUUUUGAUAACGGAAAAAUAAUUGAAGAUGAAAUAAAUAAAUCAAAUGAUCCUCUUUUCAAUUCGAGAAAACUCUCAAAUAUGAAAAUAACGAAAUCUUCAACUCUCUCCAAGGGUCCUUGAGUUGCGUGAAAUUUCUAGGAUCGACCAAAAUGCAAGAAAAUAAAUAUGCAUGAUGAUCUAUUCUAAAUUGAAAAUAAAUUCAAAGGGGGCUUUGAAUUUAAUUCUUUGAAACUCCCAACUCAUAUUUCAUAUAAUUUGAAAAAGUCAUUUUAUCUUCUCUCUUGAAAAUCAUUGAGUCGCAUAGAGUUUUAGAAUUGGAAUAUUUUCCAAAUGAAAUUCAAAUAUUUUUCAAACACCCUUUUCAUUUUAAAUGGAAGAAGUCAUGUCAUCUUCUCUCUAGGGUUUUGUGUUUGAAAAGCAUUUGAAUUCACGGAGAGCAUAAAAUGCAAAAAUGAAAGUUUGGGAAAAUCCUUUUAUUCCCUCUCAUUUAACUUUCAAAAAGGUUUCGAAUUCACUCACUUUCAGACAGUCAAUCAAACAAUCAGUCAAAUCUAUCUAUUUAUUAUAACAUUCCAAAUUUUAGAAUUUUGGGAUGUUACAAACCUACCACCCUUAAAAUGAAUCUCGUCCUCGAGAUUCGGAGAGGCUAGCAAGAAAAGGUUAGGGUUUAGGGGUCUCCUCAAAAUCCAUCAAUCGUCUCCGGGGUCUGGGAUGCUACCACCCUUAGAAACAUCGUUACAACUCCAUCAAUACUCAUAUACUCCGUCCAUAUUGUUAACAGUGUCGGUCUUCUCAAAUCCUCGAGAAAAUUCCUUCUCUGAGCUCUUCCGAUAGUGGCAUAACCUUUUCCUCAAUUCUUCUGUCCUUUCAUCUGGGCAAGGUUAUUCCGAAACUGGGUCUUCUUAGCUGACGGUCUGGCGCCAAGACUAAACAACUAUCGAUAUCUCCUGGUGGUCAACAAUUUGUGGUUUCUCCUGCAGGAAAUGGGUCUUGGUUGAUCCUCACCGUAUAACCUACGGUUGGCACAACUGCCGUGUACAAGGGAAAAAUACCUAUACCAUUCUAAGGCUUAAACAAGGUUUUGAUCGUCGUCUCUCCACUAUAGGUAAGUCUCUCAGAUUUACCAUCCCAUAUAGCAAGGCGAAUAAUAAGAGUAAGUCGGUAUGGUGAUCAAUCCAUCCCGCACCCAAAUCAUUACCAUGUAUACAGUUUAGCGAAUCUCGCAUAUUAACACUCGGUCAACCUCACAAGCAUUGCAGAAUUUCUCUUGUCGACGAACCAAGUUCGAAUAAAUCCAUAGAUUCUGCAAGCCAAACAACCAUCUAUCGUUCCUUCACAACUCUCAGGUUUUGCGUAACUCCUAUAAGAUCGUUUGUCGAUAAACGUCGUAUCUUCCUCCGGGUUUUUUUUUCCUUCAGCAAGAGUGUGCUUGCUUCUUGGCAGGUCCUGGGGCCUGUGGGUUAUGGCCCAUCUCAUCACUUGUAAUCCUUGAACUCAUCUUCGGGCAACUGAUCAUUAGUCCAACUUCCAACUUCCUAGUAUUCUUAAUUCCAUCCAAUCGUAUGGACUUUCUUCCUUUGGCACCAAACUAGGACAUGUUUACUCAGACUCAUCAUGGAAUUUUCCAUUGAUCCAUAUUUCCGACAUCAUACCUCCUUUAUCUCAAAUAGUAAUCCAUCUCUUCAUCCUCGUGGGUUAUUCCACAUACCGAGAAAAAAAACUUAUACUUAUGACGUCCAUAUUCCACUUCGUGGAACAUCAUUAUCCUUUCCGCGGUCAAGCGUCCUUACAGGGGAAUAUUGGCCAUCUCUGCAUUGCACUUCUUCAACUGGGAACCGUGAAAUGCAUCCUCCUGACAGUCCUUCCGGUAACUCAAACUUUGUAGGCCAUUUCUCUCAUAUGCUCCAAAACUCGGUAUGGUCCUACAAACCUCGGGGCUAACUGUCCCUUAACUCCAAAUCGUUUAACUCCUCGCAGAGGGAACACAUGAAGACAUGCUCUAUUCUCCAAUUUCAUAGACUUCCUCCUUGAGUUUUUAAGUCUGCGUAACUCUUCUACUUGGACUGAGCUACCUUCAGUCUAUCUCAAAUCAACUUAACAUUCUCUUCUGACUCCUUGAUCACAUUUGGUCCAAACAACUGACAGUCUCCAUCUUCAUCCCACACACUCUUGGGCAUCACACAUAUCGAGGCAAAACUCGUAUUCAUUUUUGUCCGAAAUCCAUUACAGGGUACUACCACCCUUAAAAUGCACAAAUCUUCCAUAGACCAUAUUUCUCUUAUCCUCAAAAUGGCCAAAAUUCUUCUUCAUAGAGUAACAACUCAUAAAAUCCAUAUCUUUACCAACGGUGCUAACUUUAUUGCUUCUCAAAUCAUUACAAUCUCCUGUUUUUCCAUUACAUGCCUCAACUCAACACCUCAAUACAAAAGAAAAUGUUCUCACUUCUACUACUCCAUUUCUUUUGUUGCAAACUCAACUAUCUAGCACAAGUUUCCUUCUCCUUGGGGCAUUCUCUGGCAAAGUGCCCUGCUUCAUUACAACGGAAACAUAUUACUUCUGGGAAGAUUCGAGGUUUCCUUGUGAUUAUAUAGCCUACUUGGGUCCUUGGCUUCCUUUUUGGGCAAUCAUUGAAGUAAUGUCCUGAAUUUUUGCACCUGAAACAUGUGAUAUGACUCAGGUCUUUCCUGGAAUCCAAUCUACGUCUCUUUCUGGAUUUUUCCAUUUCAACCAGAGCUUCUAUUUCCAGUGGGUCAUACUCUACUUCCUCUGUCGGGAAUUCUACUAAAUUCCCAUUCAUACAAUUCUGGGAGAUGUGUCCUUCUUCUCCACAUGAAUAGCAUGACUUAGUGCAGGGUUUAAUUGGCUCUUCUUUGGGUGUGUCCUCCACCUCUUUCUUCAUCACAGGUUCUUCUAAACCUUCCAUGAGGGCUCCUUUCAUUGCUUCUUCCUUCAGCUGGAUGGUUCGUUGUACCAUGGGGUAAAUGUGACACUGAGCAGGGUAGUGGGUAGUCCCUUCACACAAGAAACAAAUGAUCUGCCUAGUUGGGCAUUCUUCAGCUGGGUGACUUACUUCACAAUUAGGGCAUUCAUCCUUGUGUUCUUUAUGGUUGUGUCCUAUUUCACCACAGAGCUUGCAUGCACAAGGUUUCUUUAUAUCAUUUCCAUAGGGCUUCAACUUCUGGGACACAAACUGAGACUUUAGCAAAGUCAACUUAAAUUCUUUCCAAGUGGUUACUCCUUGCCAUCCAUUCAUGGUUUGGUACAUCCUCCACCAAGUAGCAGCACCUCUUUCAAAGCACUGAAGAGCAUGCUGGGCCAUAUCCUUUCUGACUAUAGGGUUGUUCUCCAUAUGAUCCUCCAUGUUCUGAAUCCAUCGGUCUGUCUCCAAUUGACCCAUCGGUCCAAAAACUAUAAGCUCAUCUCCAUUCAUCCUCUAUUGGGUCCAUGGGUUUGGGGUGAGAUAAGAGAGAUAGAGAGGGAUACACACAAUACAAACAAAUUUUUUGAAAAGAUAGAUUUUUGUUGUGGCUGUCGAAAAACAUUAAACAAAUGACAGCUCACAAUCGUCGCAUCUAACGUAGGUAUAUAACAGGGGUUUGGUCUUCUAAGGUCAACGUCGUCAAACUCUUCAAGUCUUUGUUCAUGCCUCCAAUGGCUUCUUCCGAUCAUGCUUGUCUUCUCAAGUUCUUUUGCCAGAUCAAUCUCUGUUGACGUGAAAUCUCUCGUGACAUCCUUUAAUAUUCCGGAGUUGCAUUUCAAACUUCUGGGUUUCAUUAUCCUUGGCAUGAACCAUGGUCCUACUGUCCUUCAGUUCCUGACGAAUCUCCUGUAUCUCAAGGUUGUAGCUCCUCCAUCUUGGCUACUUUCAACUUUUGGUUCCUGAGUUCCUCAUGAAAUACUUCCUUGUCUAAUAUGCUUUAAUGGAGCUCCACCUUAAACUUCUUUAUGUACUACUCCAGAUCCUGGUGAUACACCGGCCAAGGUUAAAACUUCAUCUUACUAAUAGGUGCUCCAUCAGCCUUCUUCCAUCAAAUCCAUUCUGAAGAAAUGCAUCCUUAACUCAGCACGGUGACAGUAGCAUCAGCGGGCGAUGAUAUCACUGAUAACCGUGUUUCUGCUCUUGUCAUUGCCAUGAGCUAUCUUGCCAGUUGAUAUCUCCUGCCUUAGGGUUUCUUUGACAAAUCCUUGAGUUCUCCAUUCUCCAUGUUUUGGUCUUUCUCCGAUACACCUUGAUAUCGGGUAUUGACAACUUCCAUAGUCUGCCAAGUUCCAUAAGGGUAGCAGUCCUAGGUCAUACAAAUCUGGGGAUUCUUCAGAGCCUUCAAAUUCUACUUGUCUUCAGAGUCUUCAACAGCUGUAGUUUCCAUUAUCAUAAUGUAUGGUAAAAUCCUCUUCAUUUCGAAUGGUCUUACUUGUCUGAUAUCCUGUACUUCUUGGAGUGGUCUCCUCAGUCGAAUCCUCGAGUGGUCAAAAGGGGAAAGGGGUAUGGUCUCACUAAAGGGAAUAUUUGAAUAAGCUCAGAAGAGAAAAGAGGUAAAAGAUCUUUUUGAAAGGGAAAGUUGUAGAGAAAAAUCUUUCCUACUGGCUUGUCAGUUUCUAGGGUCACGUCCUACAGUCAACAUGUGCUCUGAUACCAUCUCUGUAGCGACCCGACCCGAAUGGAUCAAGUCUCUGUGCUUAUGUGUCAUCCCUGGAUCAGUAUGCUGACACACACAGUACUCGAAGGAUUUAUAAUAGAGGUAAAUCACAUGUAUAAGUAACGUAAAUACUAUUACCUCAAUCCAAUAAUAUAGCAGAAGCAACAAGGUUGUGGAUUCCCAUCAACACUAACGGCAGAGUUGAGUAUAGGAAAUCGUAACCCUAACGUAUCACUUACUCGUCGUCUGAAAAGUCUGCAACAUGAAAAGUUGCAGCCCGAAAACGGGUCAGCACAUGGAAUAUGCUGGCAAGGUAACACAUAGAGAGUAAUGAAAGAAUAAGCUAUACUACAUGCAUGUAUGGCUGGUGGAAAGCUCUAUGGUUACAGUUUUGCGAAAAGCCAGUUUUUCCCUACUGCAAAGGAAUACAUUUAUUUAACUAUCAUGGUGGUUGUGAAACAUUGAGAAUGGUUGACAGCAUUCUCAAUCCCAAUUAAAAGUACACAUUAAAAACCAACAAUAUUAAUUAGAGGUAACAUGUUGAGAUUCAACAGGAUAAUCCAAGUACUAGAUACUCAAGAUGUCCAUAACCGGGGACACGGCUAAUCAUGAUUAGUUUGUACACUCUGCAGAGGUUUGCGCACUUUUCCCCACAAGACUCGAUCGCCUCCGUUUGGUUCCUCGCACUACAUGGUGUUUGAGAAACGGAUGACCGAGACACAGUCUUUCAGAAGCGCUAGCACCUUACAUGUGGGUAGACCUGUACACCUACAUCCCCUACAUCUGCUAGCCUACCCGUAAGAGUUCGCACAACUUACUCCACUAUGCCAGAGCCCAUAAUGGCUUGUGGCUGCACACGUAAGUUACUAGUAUGAAUUAUCUUAUGAUCCCUUUGACCCUGGGUGGCGGUCCAAAACAAAACAGGCAAGUCCUGAUAGACAUCAGGUGCCUCAAUCCACCCAGAUGUGUAUUUAAGUUGCCACCUUAGAUAAACCAUUAAAAUUAACAAUCUCACAUCUGUCAUGGAAUACACUCACCCAAUCCACGUCUACUAGCAUAGCAUAGCAUAAUAAGCAACGUAGAAGUAACUCCCAAAGGUUUCAUAAGUAAAACAGGUAAUAGGUACUACCUCAAUCUACUUCCCAUCCCACAAUUUAAUUAGAUCCUAAUCAUGCAAUGUUUGAGGAUUGGUCUAAUGCAUAAAAACUGGGUUGUAGAAAAGUAUGAUCAAGUGUUACUUGCCUGCAAAUUUGAUGAAGACGAUUCGCACUCAAAACUCUUGAUAGAUCUAAUCGUCACACUCCGGUCAAUCUAUCGUAAGCAAACAAUAGUAACUACACAAUAAGUACUCAUCUAAUGCACAAGUAAAACUCGAACGAGAGAACGAACCAGAAAGUUCAACUUAAGAACUCCGGUUGCAAAGAAAGAACGAACCGAACAAACGACGGAAAACAAACGGCGGAAGAAAACAACUCGGUUCUAGCAAGUUGAAACUAGGUCAAAUUUUACCAUAACAAAAACUCUCUCUGUAGCGACCCGACCCGAAUGGAUCAAGUCUCUGUGCUUAUGUGUCAUCCCUGGAUCAGUAUGCUGACACACGCAGUACUCGAAGGAUUUAUAACAGAGGUAAAUCACAUGUAUAAGUAACGUAAAUACUAUUACCUCAAUCCAAUAAUAUAGCGGAAGCAACAAGGUUGUGGAUUCCCAUCAACACCAACGGCAGAGUUGAGUAUAGGAAAUCGUAACCCUAACGUAUCACUUACUCGUCGUCUGAAAAGUCUGCAACAUGAAAAGUUGUAGCCCGAAAACGGGUCAGCACAUGGGAUAUGCUGGCAAGGUAACACAUAGAGAGUAAUGAAAGAAUAAGCUAUACUACAUGCAUGUAUGGCUGGUGGAAAGCUCUAUGGUUACAGUUUUGUGAAAAGCCGGUUUUUCCCUACUGCAAAGGAAUACAUUUAUUUAACUAUCAUGGUGGUUGUGAAACAUUGAGAAUGGUUGACAGCAUUCUCAAUCCCAAUUAAAAGUACACAUUAAAAACCAACAAUAUUAAUUAGAGGUAACAUGUUGAGAUUCAACAGGAUAAUCCAAGUACUAGAUACUCAAGAUGUCCAUAACCGGGGACACGGCUAAUCAUGAUUAGUUUGUACACUCUGCAGAGGUUUGCGCACUUUCCCCCACAAGACUCGAUCGCCUCCGUUUGGUUCCUCGCACUACAUGGUGUUUGAGAAACGGAUGACCGAGACACAGUCUUUCAGAAGCGCUAGCACCUUACAUGUGGGUAGACCUGUACACCUACAUCCCCUACAUCUGCUAGCCUACCCGUAAGAGUUCGCACAACUUACUCCACUAUGCCAGAGCCCAUAAUGGCUUGUGGCUGCACACGUAAGUUACUAGUAUGAAUUAUCUUAUGAUCCCUUUGAGCCUGGGUGGCGGUCCAAAACAAAAUAGGCAAGUCCUGAUAGACAUCAGGUGCCUCAAUCCACCCAGAUGUGUAUUUAAGUUGCCACCUUAGAUAAACCAUUAAAAUUAACAAUCUCACAUCUGUCAUGGAAUACACUCACCCAAUCCACGUCUACUAGCAUAGCAUAGCAUAAUAAGCAACGUAGAAGUAACUCCCAAAGGUUUCAUAAGUAAAACAGGUAAUAGGUACUACCUCAAUCUACUUCCAAUCCCACAAUUUAAUUAGAUCCUAAUCAUGCAAUGUUUGAGGAUUGGUCUAAUGCAUAAAAACUGGGUUGUAGAAAAGUAUGAUCAAGUGUUACUUGCCUGCAAAUUUGAUGAAGACGAUUCGCACUCAAAACUCUUGAUAGAUCUAAUCGUCACACUCCGGUCAAUCUAUCGUAAGCAAACAAUAGUAACCACACAAUAAGUACUCAUCUAAUGCACAAGUAGAACUCGAACGAGAGAACGAACCAGAAAGUUCAACUUAAGAACUCCGGUUGCAAAGAAAGAACGAACCGAACAAACGACGGAAAACAAACGGCGGAAGAAAACAACUCGGUUCUAGCAAGUUGAAACUAGGUCAAAUUUUACCAUAAAUAAAACUCUCUCUGUAGCGACCCGACCCGAAUGGAUCAAGUCUCUGUGCUUAUGUGUCAUCCCUGGAUCAGUAUGCUGACACACACAGUACUCGAAGGAUUUAUAACAGAGGUAAAUCACAUGUAUAACUAACAUAAAUACUAUUACCUCAAUCCAAUAAUAUAGCGGAAGCAACAAGGUUGUGGAUUCCCAUCAACACCAACGGCAGAGUUGAGUAUAGGAAAUCGUAACCCUAACGUAUCACUUACUCGUCGUCUGAAAAGUCUGCAACAUGAAAAGUUGCAGCUCGAAAACGGGUCAGCACAUGGGAUAUGCUGGCAAGGUAACACAUAGAGAGUAAUGAAAGAAUAAGCUAUACUACAUGCAUGUAUGGCUGGUGGAAAGCUCUAUGGUUACAGUUUUGCGAAAAGCCGGUUUUUCCCUACUGCAAAGGAAUACAUUUAUUUAACUAUCAUGGUGGUUGUGAAACAUUGAGAAUGGUUGACAGCAUUCUCAAUCCCAAUUAAAAGUACACAUUAAAAACCAACAAUAUUAAUUAGAGGUAACAUGUUGAGAUUUAAUAGGAUAAUCCAAGUACUAGAUACUCAAGAUGUCCAUAACCGGGGACACGGCUAAUCAUGAUUAGUUUGUACACUCUGCAGAGGUUUGCGCACUUUUUCCCACAAGACUCGAUCGCCUCCGUUUGGUUCCUCGCACUACAUGGUGUUUGAGAAACGGAUGACCGAGACACAGUCUUUCAGAAGCGCUAGCACCUUACAUGUGGGUAGACCUGUACACCUACAUCCCCUACAUCUGCUAGCCUACCCGUAAGAGUUCGCACAACUUACUCCACUAUGCCAGAGCCCAUAAUGGCUUGUGGCUGCACACGUAAGUUACUAGUAUGAAUUAUCUUAUGAUCCCUUUGAGCCUGGGUGGCGGUCCAAAACAAAAUAGGCAAGUCCUGAUAGACAUCAGGUGCCUCAAUCCACCCAGAUGUGUAUUUAAGUUGCCACCUUAGAUAGACCAUUAAAAUUAACAAUCUCACAUCUGUCAUGGAAUACACUCACCCAAUCCACGUCUACUAGCAUAGCAUAGCAUAAUAAGCAACGUAGAAGUAACUCCCAAAGGUUUCAUAAGUAAAACAGGUAAUAGGUACUACCUCAAUCUACUUCCCAUCCCACAAUUUAAUUAGAUCCUAAUCAUGCAAUGUUUGAGGAUUGGUCUAAUGCAUAAAAACUGGGUUGUACAAAAGUAUGAUCAAGUGUUACUUUCCUGCAAAUUUGAUGAAGAUGAUUCGCACUCAAAACUCUUGAUAGAUCUAAUCGUCACACUCCGAUCAAUCUAUCGUAAGCAAACAAUAGUAACCACACAAUAAGUACUCAUCUAAUGCACAAGUAAAACUCGAAUGAGAGAACGAACCAGAAAGUUCAACUUAAGAACUCCGGUUGCAAAGAAAGAACGAAUCGAACAAACGACGGAAAACAAACGGCGGAAGAAAACAACUCGGUUCUAGCAAGUUGAAACUAGGUCAAAUUUUACCAUAACAAAAACUUGUUCAAGUUGAUUAGACGGAACGGCGGUUUCGAGAUGAAACUCCAGGUGCUUGAAUCACCUGAUUCCGAUAAACGGGCGAGAAGAUAAACUAGAACGAAGAUCGGAUCUGAGAUCGCGAUCGCGGAAUAAAUCCGACGAGAAGAAAAAGAAGAACGGUUAUACGAACGGGCGUUCGUGAACCUAGAAGAAUCCGGUGAUCACGUUCGUUAGGACGAACGGUCCGGCGAACGGUCCAAAGGCAACUAAAUCGGAAAAGAAAACGAAUCCGAUCUAGGGUUUCGGAGAAGAAAACCGAAACGAAAAACCGAUCUAGAAAACGAAUUAGAAGAGAAGAAAAGAAUCGGAAGGAUUAGAAGAAAACGAUCCGAGGAAAAGAGACGCGGGGCAACCUUGGCGAGGGGCUCCGACGAGGGGCUCCGACGACGGCGUGGGCACAAGGGCGGCGGCGCAUGACGGCGGCGGCGCGGGUGAGGCGGCGGCGCUAGGGCGGUGGCGAACGGUGGCGAUGGCGGCGGCGGCGCGGGUGUGGGGUGGCGGCGCAGGGUGGGGCGGCGGCGCGGUGUGGUGCGGAGGAGAGGAGAGGAGAGGUGUUGGUUUGAUGUGUUAGAGAGGGGGGGUGCUUGGGUAUUUAUAUUGGGAAGGGGAGGGUUUUGCUUGGGGUAGGGGACAAGAAAUAGAUUAGAAUUAGGAAACAAGAGGAAAAGAUCUAGAAAUAGAUACGGAAUAAACGAACAUAGGGCAAGAGUCCUACUAGGACUAGGAAAGAAAGGAAGCGGCGGCUCCCUGGUGCGCGCGCGCUAUGGCCUCUUGGCCGGCCGGCGGCUAGCGGCUUGGGCCUUUGGCCCAAGGUGCUGCGAAUUUUUUUUUAAACGGUCUCGCGCGCAGAAAAAUAAAUAAAAGAAAAUCUAAACGAACUUCAAAAUUAAUGAAGUAAAUUUUCCCCGACUCGUAAAAAUGAGCCGAACAAAAUAAACUUUACUCGGGACCUAAAAAGCAAUUUUUGAAAACACGCAUUUUUUCCCUAUCCAAAUAAAAUGCGAAUAAAACUCCGGCAAACAAAGUUUGAUCUAUUUAUUAAAUCUUCAUUUUCCUAAAUUUGGGAAAGUCAUAUUAUUCCCUCCCUUAUAUUUUUGAUAACGGAAAAAUAAUUGAAGAUGAAAUAAAUAAAUCAAAUGAUCCUCUUUUCAAUUCGAGAAAACUCUCAAAUAUGAAAAUAACGAAAUCUCCAACUCUCUCCAAGGGUCCUUGAGUUGCGUGAAAUUUCUAGGAUCGACCAAAAUGCAAGAAAAUAAAAUAUGCAUGAUGAUCUAUUCCAAAUUGAAAAUAAAUUCAAAGGGGGCUUUGAAUUUAAUUUUUUGAAACUCCCAACUCAUAUUUCAUAUAAUUUGAAGAAGUCAUUUUAUCUUCUCUCGUGAAAAUCAUUAAGUCGCAUAGAGUUUUAGAAUUGGAAUAUUUUCCAAAUGAAAUUCAAAUAUUUUUCAAACACCCUUUUCAUUUUAAAUGGAAGAAGUCAUGUCAUCUUCUCUCUAGGGUUUUGUGUUUGAAAAGCAUUUGAAUUCACGGAGAGCAUAAAAUGCAAAAAUGAAAGUUUGGGAAAGUCCUUUUAUUCCCUCUCAUUUAACUUUCAAAAAGGUUUCGAAUUCACUCACUUUCAGACAGUCAAUCAAACAAUCAGUCAAAUCUAUCUAUUUAUUAUAACAUUCCAAAAUUUAGAAUUUUGGGAUGUUACACUUCAUGUUCCCACAAAUCGUGUGUAUAUUUCACAUGAUGUUAUCUUUGAUGAGCAUGUUUUUCCUUUCUCUAAUCUUCCCACUCCUGUCACCACACCCGCCGAACCAGUGCAUUCAUCUCCUUUAUUGCCUGAUCAAUUUGUAGAUGUUGCACACUCGCCUCUUUUGUUGUCUAACCAUGGUGCAGGAACUAGUAGAGGUGCCCGGCUUGUUCUCUUGGAGGACUCCCCCGCUGCUCCGACGGUUUCUUUGACGGAUCAUGUCGAUCCUGCCGCUGCGACUCCCUGCAUGGGGCAUCCAGGGUCCCCUUCGCUCACGCCCGCUACGCACUUGGACCCGGCUCCGGUAGCGGCGGGCUCGCCCUCGAUGGUUCACAUCGAUCCCGCACCGCCUCCUCCCUGCAUGGGCCAUGCAGGGUCGUCUGCCCCCGCACCCGCUACGCGGGAGGACCCGACUCCGCUGUUGCUGGAGCUUCCCGCGUCCCCUGGGCUGGACUCGCCCGCGACUGGGCUGGCCUCGCCUGUGUCAACCAGUCAGGGGACGCCCGCCCCAUUGGGUCGCCUCCUGACAGCCCGUCCUCGCCGCAGUCUCCCUCUGCUGGACGUCACCUGCUGCCACCACCACUUGCUUCUUCUUCUCCGGAGACGCGGGCCACUCCACUGAUGGUUCCUGCACCCUCGAUCCCGCCAAUGGCUCCUGUUGCUCAUCGUCCACACACUCGCAGCAAGAGUGGUAUUGUUCUUCCGUGAAAACGCACCGAUGGCACGGUUGCAUGGCUUGCGGCUUGCAUCGCUCAUUCUGAAACUGAUCCUUCCGUUGAACCUCGUCAUUAUCAGGCAGCUAUGGGUAUCCCUCACUAGCAUUCUGCGAUGGAACAAGAGUAUCAGGCAUUGCUGAAAAAUGGUACGUGGCGUCUUGUUCCUCUGAAGAGUGGUGCCAAUAUUAUUGACUCUAAAUGGGUAUUCAAAGUUAAGCGACAUGCUGAUGGCUCUAUUGAACGGUAUAAGGUUCGACUUGUUGCUCGUGGGUUCAAACAACGUCAAGGCCUUGAUUAUGAUGAUACCUUCAGUCCUAUGAUCAAGCCUACGACUAUUCGUCUGCUUUUGUCUCUUGCUGUUACUCGUGGAUGGUUUCUUCGACAGCUCGAUGUUCAGAAUGAUUUUCUCCAUGGAGUUUUUGAUGAAGAGGUCUAUAUGCGUCAGCUGCCUGGGUUUGUUGAUCCUGCUCGUCCGCAUCAUUUGUGUCGUCUCGUCAAGGCUUUUUAUGGUCUCAAACAGGCGCCUCAUGCCUGGCAUGCGCGUCUUGGUUCUGCUCUUCGCGCACAUGGAUUUGUCCCUUCGACCGCUGAUACGUCUUUGUUCAUGCUACAGCGCCCUACGGUCACUAUGUACCUAAUGGUGUAUGUCGAUGACAUCAUCUUGAUCAGCUCGUCAGCCUUUGCUGCGGAUCGUCUUGUUUCUGCUUUGAGUGGUGACUGCUAUUACAGAUCUUGGUCGGCUUCAUUAUUUCCUUGGUUUGGAGGUCUCUCAUUCUGAUGCCGGUCUGACUCUCACUCAGCAGAAAUAUUCUCUGGAUUUGCUUCAUCGUGCUGGUAUGCUCCAAUGCAAAGCCUGCUACUACUCCCAUGACAACUUAUGGUCGCCUCUCUGCACUUGAUGGUACUCUUCUUCCGUCGGAUGAGGCUACAACGUAUCGCAGUAUUGUUGGUGGCUUACAGUAUUUGACGAUCACUCGUCCUGAUAUCUCCUAUACGGUUAACAGUGUAUACCAGUUUCUUCAUGCUCCUCGAGAUACUCACUGGACUGCUGUCAAACGCAUUCUGUGCUAUGUUUGUUUCACUGCUGCUCUGGGUCUGCAUCUUCGGUCUGCUCCUUCUGGUAGCCUCUCGGCUUUUUUUGAUGCUGAUUGGGCUGGUAGCCCGGAUGACAGGCAAUCUAUGAGGGGAUAUGCAGUGUUCUAUGGUCCUAAUUUGAUCGCCUGGAGUGCUCGUAAACAGGCUACAGUAUUGUGUAGUAGUACUGAAGCUGAAUAAAAGUACUGGCAAUGCCACUGCUAAGUGAUUUGGGUUCAGUCCUUACUUCGAGAGUUGUGGGUCUCUCAGAUUCAUCCUCCUGUUCUUUGGUGUGACAACAUCGGUGCUACGUACCUUUCUUUAAAUUCGGUAUUUCAUAACCGAACAAAACACAUCAAAGUUGACUAUCAUUUUGUCAGAGAACGACUUUCACAGAAGUUACUUCAGAUCAAGUUUAUUUCUUCUAAAGAUCAACUUGCUGAUAUCUUCACGAAGCCGUUGCCAUUGCCUCAGUUUGAGGGUUGUCGUCGCAAUCUUAAUUUUCUGAAAUCUCCAUUGCCUCAGUUUGAGGGUUGUCGUCGCAAUCUUAAUUUUCUGAAAUCUUCAGACCACGGUUAGGUUGAGAGAGGGUGUUAGACUUGUAGUUAUACGUAAAUACGCAUUACAACUUGUAUACAGUUGUAUUUGUACUCAAAGAGAUUUUCCUCCACAUAUAUAUAUAUAUAUAUAUAUAUAUAUAUAUAUAUAUAUAUAUAUAUAUAUAUUUUGUCGUGGCCGACCCAUGAGGUGUCGAAGUCCACAAUACCCCAAAACCUUUUGCUUAACAGGGUUCAAGGAUCAUCGCUACUCUUUUGGAUCCGGAAGGCAAAAAGUGACUUCAGGCGAAGGACAAGGAGCUCAACACGUGAAAAGAGAGUGUAGCCGCGCCGAAUGAUUCAUUCUUGUAUCAGUAUGAAUUAUCGUAUUUUCUUCUGGCACGUUUAUUUUGUUGCACAAUUAACCAACGCAAUAUCACGAACCCGUAACAGAUGAGGAUACUAUAUUGCACUGGAAACUUAUUACACAAACGGAGCAAACAUCACCUAGGAGAUACUAUAGGGGCAACCAUGCACAGCAAGGCCACCCUCCAUUAUUAACCAAAAGUACCACACACUAUACAUACAUAUAUAGCGAUAAACCAUAGCUGCAAGUGUUGGAUUUAAAGGAUUUGAAGCAGCUGCUUUGGCGGCGGCGGCUAGUAGUCCUCCGGCGCGAGCGGCUGGUGGGCGUGGGCGGCGGUCUCGGUAGACGGCAUGACGAC